Molecule: ribosomal RNA, 150 nt
Filed under: Triticum aestivum (bread wheat)
Lineage: Eukaryota; Viridiplantae; Streptophyta; Magnoliopsida; Poales; Poaceae
Description: partial small subunit ribosomal RNA
Source: RNAcentral
AUGCAUGUCCGGUUUAAUGAGGCAUGGCAUGGCAAUAUGCACAAACAACACUACAAAUUAAGUGGAGCUCAAUAUGCAACGAGUUGCAUAUUGACGAAACACCACAUGACUUAUUUAGUUCUCUUCUGUUUAUGUACCCAACAACAUUAA